GCUGGCGGCGUGGAUAAGACAUGCAAGUCGAGCGAGAUUUUUUCUUGUAGCAAUACAGGGAAAAGUCUAGCGGCGAACGGGUGUUUAACACGUGGGCAACCUGCCAAGAAGUGGGGGAUAGCUCGCCGAAAGGCGAAUUAAUACCGCAUGUGAUCAGAGUGGACAUCCAUUCGAAAUCAAAGUCGGGGCAACCUGACGCUUCUUGAGGGGCCCGCGGCCUAUCAGCUAGUUGGUGAGGUAACGGCCCACCAAGGCUUAGACGGGUAGCUGGUCUGAGAGGACGACCAGCCACACUGGGACUGAGACACGGCCCAGACACCUACGGGUGGCAGCAGUCGAGAAUUUUUCUCAAUGGGGGAAACCCUGAAGGAGCGACGCCGCGUGGAGGAUGAAGGUCUUCGGAUUGUAAACUCCUGUCAUUGGGGAACAAGGCGUAAAUAUUAACUGUAUUUGCGUUGAUAGUACCCGAAGAGGAAGGGACGGCUAACUCUGUGCCAGCAGCCGCGGUAAUACAGAGGUCUCAAGCGUUGUUCGGAUUCAUUGGGCGUAAAGGGUGCGUAGGCGGCGCGGUAAGUCGGGUGUGAAAUCUCGGAGCUUAACUCCGAAACUGUAUUCGAUACUGCUGUGCUUGAGGACUGGAGAG
RNAcentral lists this ribosomal RNA (643 nucleotides) under uncultured soil bacterium. RNAcentral describes it as "bacterial SSU rRNA". It matches the Rfam family "Bacterial small subunit ribosomal RNA", at positions 35 to 656 of the family's 1533-position model. The record is from RNAcentral.